GGUCGUUAGCUCAGUUGGUAGAGCAGUUGACUUUUAAUCAAUUGGUCGCAGGUUCGAACCGCGCGAAGCGACACACCA
Molecule: transfer RNA, 78 nt
Filed under: Yersinia enterocolitica
Lineage: Bacteria; Pseudomonadati; Pseudomonadota; Gammaproteobacteria; Enterobacterales; Yersiniaceae
Description: tRNA-Lys
Rfam family: tRNA (bases 3-67)
About the family: Transfer RNA (tRNA) molecules are approximately 80 nucleotides in length. Their secondary structure includes four short double-helical elements and three loops (D, anti-codon, and T loops).
Source: RNAcentral